Molecule: long non-coding RNA, 320 nt
Organism: Mustela lutreola (European mink)
Lineage: Eukaryota; Metazoa; Chordata; Mammalia; Carnivora; Mustelidae
Exons: 2
Source: RefSeq, a predicted model, not a curated record
UUUUCUCUUCUGCCCAUAAAAGUCUUCUGUUUUGUACAGCUCCUUGGAACUCUUUUCUACUUGCUGGAUGGGAUGCUGCCUGAUUCACGAAUUGCUGAAUAAAUGUACUUAAAUCUUCAAAUUUACUCAGAGAGAGAGACAGCAAGAGAAGGAACACAAGCAGGCGGAGUGGGAAAGGGAGAAGCCAGCUUCCCUCGGAGCAGGAAGCCCAACACGGGGCUCAAUCCGAGGACCCUGGAAUCAUGACCUGAGCUGAAGGCAGACGCUUAAUGACUGAGCCACCCAGGUGCCUCCAGAAAAUAAAUGUUAAUAUAAUGUAA